This 253-nucleotide ribosomal RNA is filed under the name uncultured bacterium. RNAcentral's name for it is "partial 16S ribosomal RNA". It matches the Rfam family "Bacterial small subunit ribosomal RNA", at positions 524 to 776 of the family's 1533-position model. The record is from RNAcentral.
UACGGAGGAUGCAAGCGUUAUCCGGAAUGAUUGGGCGUAAAGCGUCCGCAGGUGGCUAUGUAAGUCUGCUGUUAAAGAGUGAGGCUCAACCUCAUAAGAGCAGUGGAAACUACACGGCUAGAGUGCGUUCGGGGCAGAGGGAAUUCCUGGUGUAGCGGUGAAAUGCGUAGAGAUCAGGAAGAACACCGGUGGCGAAGGCGCUCUGCUAGGCCGCAACUGACACUGAGGGACGAAAGCUAGGGGAGCGAAUGGG